UACGUAGGGUGCAAGCGUUAAUCGGAAUUACUGGGCGUAAAGCGUGCGCAGGCGGUUUUGUAAGUCUGUCGUGAAAUCCCCGGGCUCAAACUGGGAAUUGCGAUGGAGACUGCAAGGCUAGAGUUUGGCAGAGGGGGGUAGAAUUCCACGUGUAGCAGUGAAAUGCGUAGAUAUGUGGAGGAACACCGAUGGCGAAGGCAGCCCCCUGGGUCAAGACUGACGCUCAUGCACGAAAGCGUGGGGAGCAAACAGG
This 253-nucleotide ribosomal RNA is filed under the name uncultured bacterium. RNAcentral's name for it is "partial 16S ribosomal RNA". It matches the Rfam family "Bacterial small subunit ribosomal RNA", at positions 524 to 776 of the family's 1533-position model. The record is from RNAcentral.